AGGAUGAACGCUAGCGGCAGGCUUAACACAUGCAAGUCGAGGGGUAACGGGGUGCUUGCACCGCCGACGACCGGCGCACGGGUGAGUAACGCGUAUACAACCUACCUUUUGGAGGGGGAUAGCCCGGGGAAACCCGGAUUAACACCCCAUAUUUCCAAGGCGGCGAUUGCCGCUUUGGUGAAACAUUCAUGGCCAAAAGAUGGGUAUGCGUCCCAUUAGCUGGUAGGUAAGGUAACGGCUUACCUAGGCAAUGAUGGGUAGGGCCCUGAGAGGGGGGUCCCCCACACUGGUACUGAGACACGGACCAGACUCCUACGGGAGGCAGCAGUGAGGAAUAUUGGACAAUGGGCGGAGCCUGAUCCAGCCAUGCCGCGUGCAGGAAGACGGCCCUAUGGUUGUAAACUGCUUUUACACGGGAAGAACACCCCUUGCGAGGGCUUGACGUACGUGCGAAUAAGGAUCGGCUAACGUCCGUGCCAGCAGACCGC
RNAcentral lists this ribosomal RNA (488 nucleotides) under uncultured soil bacterium. RNAcentral's name for it is "bacterial SSU rRNA". It matches the Rfam family "Bacterial small subunit ribosomal RNA", at positions 26 to 518 of the family's 1533-position model. The record is from RNAcentral.